GCACUGCUGACGAGUCCCAGAUAGGACGAAACAGCUGCCCAGUGC
Molecule: non-coding RNA, 45 nt
Filed under: Echinostoma caproni
Lineage: Eukaryota; Metazoa; Platyhelminthes; Trematoda; Plagiorchiida; Echinostomatidae
Source: RNAcentral